UCUAUGUGGCCAGGCUGCUGGAAGGGGCUGAGGCAGGAAGAGUGCACUGGGUCAUGGCACUGCCUCCAACACUAGACUUGGAGAUCCAGGCUAUCCGGCAGGAGCAGGACACAACAGGUACUGGCCUCUCCAGUCCUCUUUGUGGAGUGUGGCAGUGGGAGGAGUCUGAGGCUGAGCCGCAUGAGGAGGCUGAAGACCCUGCUAGAGAACAGAGAAACUUGCAGAGAGAGGCAGUACAUGCUCUAGAAGGAAGCCGAACACUGCCCUGGAGGUAAGGAGCAGGUUGA
Psammomys obesus (fat sand rat) is the source of this 287-nucleotide long non-coding RNA. RefSeq lists it as uncharacterized. The record is from RefSeq and is a predicted model, not a curated record. The transcript has 3 exons. NCBI's taxonomy places the organism in Eukaryota, Metazoa, Chordata, Mammalia, Rodentia, Muridae.